This 621-nucleotide ribosomal RNA is filed under the name uncultured bacterium. Its description in RNAcentral is "bacterial SSU rRNA". It matches the Rfam family "Bacterial small subunit ribosomal RNA", at positions 595 to 1208 of the family's 1533-position model. The record is from RNAcentral.
UGUAAAUGCACCGGUCACCGGUGCACUGCGGUCGAUACGGCGCGUCUGGAGUGUGGGAGAGGGAAGCGGAAUUCCCGGUGUAGCGGUGAAAUGCGUAGAUAUCGGGAGGAACGCCGGUGGCGAAGGCGGCUUCCUGGCCCGCAACUGACGCUCAUGUGCGAAAGCCAGGUGAGCGAACCGGAUUAGAUACCCGGGUAGUCCUGGCCGUAAACGAUGGACGCUAGGUGUGGGCGGUUUAUCCGUCUGUGCCGAAGUUAACGCGUUAAGCGUCCCGCCUGGGGAGUACGAUCGCAAGGUUGAAACUCAAAGGAAUUGACGGGGGCCCGCACAAGCGGUGGAGCGCGUGGUUUAAUUCGAUGCAAACCGAAGAACCUUACCUGGGUUUGACAUGCAGGUGGUACGAGCCCGAAAGGGUGAGGACCGCACCUUCGGGUGCGGAGCCUGCACAGGUGCUGCAUGGCUGUCGUCAGCUCGUGUCGUGAGAUAGUUGGGUUAAGUCCCGCAACGAGCGCGACCCUUGCUUCCAGUUGCCAUCAGGUCGAGCUGGGCACUCUGGAGGGACUGCCGGCGACAAGUCGGAGGAAGGCGGGGAUGACGUCAAGUCAUCAUGGCCCUUAUGUC